This 275-nucleotide ribosomal RNA is filed under the name uncultured bacterium. Its description in RNAcentral is "partial 16S ribosomal RNA". It matches the Rfam family "Bacterial small subunit ribosomal RNA", at positions 1200 to 1474 of the family's 1533-position model. The record is from RNAcentral.
CCUUAUGGGUAGGGCUUCACACGUCAUACAAUGGUCGGUACAGAGGGUUGCCAAGCCGCGAGGUGGAGCCAAUCCCAGAAAGCCGAUCGUAGUCCGGAUUGCAGGCUGCAACUCGCCUGCAUGAAGUCGGAAUCGCUAGUAAUCGCGGAUCAGCAUGUCGCGGUGAAUACGUUCCCGGGUCUUGUACACACCGCCCGUCACACCAUGGGAGCGGGUUCCGCCAGAAGUAGGUAGCCUAACCGCAAGGGGGGCGCUUACCACGGCGGGGUUCGUGA